GCACUGCCAUUGAGCCCCCAACAUGCCUGUGCCUGGCCUUGGGGUUCAGGCUGCAGAGCCAAAGCACUGACUCAUGCAUAACUAGGGCCAUUAGCCCGCUCGCCGGUGGCCCUUUUAACCGCAAGCAACAACA
Molecule: small nucleolar RNA, 133 nt
Organism: Suncus etruscus (white-toothed pygmy shrew)
Lineage: Eukaryota; Metazoa; Chordata; Mammalia; Eulipotyphla; Soricidae
Source: RefSeq, a predicted model, not a curated record